UACGGAGGGUGCAAGCGUUAUCCGGAUUCACUGGGUUUAAAGGGUGCGUAGGUGGGUCUGUAAGUCAGUGGUGAAAUCUCCGGGCUUAACCCGGAAACUGCCAUUGAUACUAUCAGUCUUGAAUACCGUGGAGGUAAGCGGAAUAUGUCAUGUAGCGGUGAAAUGCUUAGAUAUGACAUAGAACACCAAUUGCGAAGGCAGCUUACUACCCGAAUAUUGACACUGAGGCACGAAAGCGUGGGGAUCAAACAGG
RNAcentral lists this ribosomal RNA (253 nucleotides) under uncultured bacterium. Its description in RNAcentral is "partial 16S ribosomal RNA". It matches the Rfam family "Bacterial small subunit ribosomal RNA", at positions 524 to 776 of the family's 1533-position model. The record is from RNAcentral.